UCUGCAUGAAGAUGUAGAGGUAGAGAAAA
Molecule: non-coding RNA, 29 nt
Filed under: Rattus norvegicus (Norway rat)
Lineage: Eukaryota; Metazoa; Chordata; Mammalia; Rodentia; Muridae
Source: RNAcentral